AGCAAAAUAAGAAGAAGAGUGGAUUUCAGGCCAUGGAAUUCAGCAGGCCGAAUCUGAAUGCAAUCCUUAAUAUGGGAUAUGUACAAAGUGCCUACUUCCAGUACAGGAUGAUCCGAUCGUUUGGUAUGUUCGCGGAUUUCGACGACGACGGCAAUGAAGAAAAAGGACGCAUGCGGAUCCUGAAGGCAAUUCUUAAAAAUGUGAUGCAAAGUGCCACUUCAAAUCCUUCGCCCGGGUUUUUGCUUUCCGCUGUUCGAGAAACUAAAACGACGAGCGAUCAAGUUCUCCGUGGAACGUUAAUAUUGGCUCACGAUGGGAAAUUUUCGGAUCUUAAAACGAUUCUACAACUUGCUGCCGAAUGUGAUCGUUUCUAUGCCAAAGUUCAGCGGUGUUGCACUGUGCGUUUGACGAAGGGGACCUCUUUUCGUGAUGGGUUGCGGCGAGACGGAGACACAUUGUGAAAGUUCCCCAAACGGAAACAGAUGGUCUGGUUCUCCGCAAGCUGUUGGUCGACUUUACGAAGGAAGGCUUGAGCGAACUAACGCUUAUCCGAUUGGAGAAUAAUGUAAUGAUUAAGACUAAGGCCGGAGUGGCCUGUGCUGCACAUAAAAGUCUUCUCCAUUCAGCUCGGUCCAUGGCUGCACUUCGAGAACCACGCAGUCUACGGAGGGUCCGCAAAUCGUCCUCCACCUGAUCGAUCCACCUUGCCCGCUGUGCACCUCGCCUUCUUGUUCCCGUCGGAUCGUUGUCGAGAACCAUUUUCACCGGAUUACUGUCCGACAUUCUGGCUACGUGGAGGCUGAAGAUGGAGUGGCAUCUGCAUUGUUUUCUUUUCGCUCGGUCCAUAACUGCACGUCAUCUUCC
Molecule: long non-coding RNA, 864 nt
Organism: Armigeres subalbatus
Lineage: Eukaryota; Metazoa; Arthropoda; Insecta; Diptera; Culicidae
Exons: 3
Source: RefSeq, a predicted model, not a curated record